AUUGAACGCUGGCGGCAGGCCUAACACAUGCAAGUCGAGCGGAUGAGUGGAGCUUGCUCCAUGAUUCAGCGGCGGACGGGUGAGUAAUGCCUAGGAAUCUGCCUGGUAGUGGGGGACAACGUUUCGAAAGGAACGCUAAUACCGCAUACGUCCUACGGGAGAAAGUGGGGGAUCUUCGGACCUCACGCUAUCAGAUGAGCCUAGGUCGGAUUAGCUAGUUGGUGGGGUAAAGGCCCACCAAGGCGACGAUCCGUAACUGGUCUGAGAGGAUGAUCAGUCAACCGGGACCUGAGACCCGUUCCGACCUCCAACGGAGGGCAGCGUUGGGAAAAAUUGGACAAUGGGGGAAGGCCUGAUCCAGCCAGGCCGCGGGGGGAAAGAAGGUCUUCGAAUUGUAAAGCACUUUAAGUUGGGAGAAAGGGCAGUAAGUUAAAACCUUGCUGUUUUGACGUUACCAACAGAAUAAGCACCGGCAAACUUCGU
This 483-nucleotide ribosomal RNA is filed under the name uncultured bacterium. Its description in RNAcentral is "partial 16S ribosomal RNA". It matches the Rfam family "Bacterial small subunit ribosomal RNA", at positions 30 to 506 of the family's 1533-position model. The record is from RNAcentral.